GACGAACGCUGGCGGCGUGCUUAACACAUGCAAGUCGAACGGAAAGGCCCCUUUGGGGGUCCUCGAGUGGCGAACGGGUGAGUAACACGUGAGUAACCUGCCCUUGACUUCGGGAUAACUUCAGGAAACUGGGGCUAAUACCGGAUAGGAAUCCUUGCUGCAUGGUGGGGGUUGGAAAGCUUCGGCGGUUUUGGAUGGACUCGCGGCUUAUCAGCUUGUUGGUGGGGUAGUGGCUUACCAAGGCUUUGACGGGUAGCCGGCCUGAGAGGGCGACCGGCCACAUUGGGACUGAGAUACGGCCCAGACUCCUACGGGAGGCAGCAGUGGGGAAUAUUGCACAAUGGGCGGGAGCCUGAUGCAGCAACGCCGCGUGCGGGAUGACGGCCUUAGGGUUGUAAACCGCUUUCAGCAGGGGCGAAGCUUGUGGUGACGGUACCUGCAGAAGAAGCACCGGCUAACUACGUG
RNAcentral lists this ribosomal RNA (465 nucleotides) under uncultured bacterium. Its description in RNAcentral is "partial 16S ribosomal RNA". It matches the Rfam family "Bacterial small subunit ribosomal RNA", at positions 28 to 507 of the family's 1533-position model. The record is from RNAcentral.